This 75-nucleotide transfer RNA is filed under the name Methanobacteriota archaeon. Its description in RNAcentral is "Euryarchaeota archaeon tRNA-Arg". It matches the Rfam family "tRNA". Rfam says of the family: Transfer RNA (tRNA) molecules are approximately 80 nucleotides in length. The record is from RNAcentral. Lineage: Archaea; Methanobacteriati; Methanobacteriota.
GGGCAUGUGGUGUAACCUGGACAGCAUCGGACGCUUCGAACGUCUCGGGUCGGGGUUCGAAUCCUCGCGUGCCCG